RNAcentral lists this ribosomal RNA (495 nucleotides) under uncultured bacterium. Its description in RNAcentral is "partial 16S ribosomal RNA". It matches the Rfam family "Bacterial small subunit ribosomal RNA", at positions 28 to 507 of the family's 1533-position model. The record is from RNAcentral.
GACGAACGCUGGCGGCGUGCCUAAUACAUGCAAGUCGAACGCUGAAGGAGGAUCUUGCUUCUCCGGAUGAGUUGCGAACGGGUGAGUAACGCGUAGGUAACCUGCCUGGUAGCGGGGGAUAACUAUUGGAAACGAUAGCUAAUACCGCAUAACAGUAUAUAUUGCAUGAUAUCUGCUUGAAAUGUGCAAUUGCAUCACUACCAGAUGGACCUGCUUUGUAUUAGCUAGUUGGUGGGGUAACGGCUCACCAAGGCGACGAUACAUAGCCGACCUGAGAGGGUGAUCGGCCACACUGGGACUGAGACACGGCCCAGACUACUACGGGAGGCAGCAGUAGGGAAUCUUCGGCAAUGGAAGGAAGUCUGACCGAGCAACGCCGCGUGAGUGAAGAAGGUUUUCGGAUCGUAAAGCUCUGUUGUAAGAGAAGAACGAGUGUGAGAGUGGAAAGUUCACACUGUGACGGUAUCUUAACAGAAAGGGACGGCUAACUACGUG